This 87-nucleotide transfer RNA is filed under the name Pseudomonadota bacterium. RNAcentral's name for it is "tRNA-Leu". It matches the Rfam family "tRNA". Rfam says of the family: Transfer RNA (tRNA) molecules are approximately 80 nucleotides in length. Their secondary structure includes four short double-helical elements and three loops (D, anti-codon, and T loops). The record is from RNAcentral. RNAcentral also lists the same sequence under 1 other name. Lineage: Bacteria; Pseudomonadati; Pseudomonadota.
GCGGGCGUAGCCGAACUGGUAGAGGCGCCAGACUUAGGCUCUGGUCGGCGUGAGCCGGUGGGGGUUCGAGUCCCUCCGCCCGCACCA